RNAcentral lists this ribosomal RNA (450 nucleotides) under uncultured bacterium. Its description in RNAcentral is "partial 16S ribosomal RNA". It matches the Rfam family "Bacterial small subunit ribosomal RNA", at positions 48 to 508 of the family's 1533-position model. The record is from RNAcentral.
GUGUCACGCGACGCGCAUAAUCUCAUCAUGAGCCUGGCCGUCUCUUUUACAANUNANNCNNCNGUNUGAGUNGCAUCGUGGGAGGCUUUCCCUGCAUGUGAGGGAGACCCCGGUUUAACAACGGGCUAAUACCGCAUACGCCCUUGGAGUAAUUUCCUGGGUGAAAGAUUUAUCGCUCCUGUAGGGGCCCGCGUCGGAUUAACUCGUUGGUGACGUAACGGGGGCCNAAGCGAUGAUCCGUAUCUGGUCUGAGAGGAUGAUCAGCCACACUGGGACUGAGACUCCGCCCAGACUCCUACGGGAGGCAUCAGUGGGGAUUAUUGGACAAUGGGGGCUUCCCUGAUCCAUUCCUGGCCCGCUUGACUGAUGAAGGCCUUACGGUUGUUACCCCUUUCCGGCCGGGACCAUCAUUACUGUUCCCGCACCAGGACCCCCGGGUUAACUUCGUUG